This 257-nucleotide ribosomal RNA is filed under the name uncultured bacterium. RNAcentral's name for it is "partial 16S ribosomal RNA". It matches the Rfam family "Bacterial small subunit ribosomal RNA", at positions 338 to 586 of the family's 1533-position model. The record is from RNAcentral.
CCUACGGGAGGCAGCAGUGGGGAAUAUUGGACAAUGGGGGGAACCCUGAUCCAGCCAUGCCGCGUGUGUGAAGAAGGCUUUAUGGUUGUAAAGCACUUUAAGCGAGGAGGAGGCUAYGGARACUAAUACUCUUGRAUAGUGGACGUUACUCGCAGAAUAAGCACCGGCUAACUCUGUGCCAGCAGCCGCGGUAAUACARAGGGUGCGAGCGUUAAUCGSAUUUACUGGGCGUAAAGCGUGCGUAGGCGGCUUUUUAA